UAGUCCUUUACAGAUACUUAAAGAAUGUUCUCCACUAAAGGAAACCACAAGUGAACAGGUGCUCCACCAUCACCGCUCCUCGUUUUCAUCUCCUUUUAACUACAACCCUUCUCAAAACAGCAGCAUGUCCUUCUCCGGCAGAUCCUAUGGAAACAGGACUCAAAGCAUGUACGGAGGAGCUGGGGGUCAGGGAACCCGUAUCUCAACUACCCAGCAAGGGUCGCCCUACGCGUCUCUACGGGGCUUCAAUCUCGCCGAUGGCCUCGAUCUUCACACUUCAAGAAAUGAGAAGGCCACCAUGCAGAACCUGAACGACCGUCUGGCUUCUUAUAUGCAGAAUGUGCAAUCUCUGGAGAAGAGAAACGCUGAGCUGGAGCAGAAGAUCAGGGACUGGUAUGAAAGUCAUUCUGUGGUCUUCCGUGAUCACAGUGACUUCUUGGAAAAGGUCAAGGAUUUGAGAGACCAGAUUGAGUACCUCUCUAUGUGCAAUACCAAGACCGUACUGGACAUCGACAACUCCAAACUGGUGGCUGAAGAUUUCAGAAUCAAGUAUGAAACAGAGCGGAACCUGCGUACCGCAGUGGAGGCGGACACCACCUGCAUCAGGUCGGUUCUAGAUCAAAUGGUUUUUACCCGAUCAGAUUUGGAGCAGAAGUAUGAGGACCUGAAAGAGGAACUGGCCAUGCUUGAGAAAAACCAUGAAGAGGAGAUGGCUCUGGCUCGUGAGCAGACUUCACAGGUGAACGUGUCUGUGGAUGCAGCGCCCUCUGCGGAUCUGAACGAGGCUUUGACAGAGGUCAGACAGUACUAUGAGAACGUGACUGCCAGAAACCGCAGUGACCUGGAGAACUGGUACCAAAACAAGAUUUCCACAAUGGAGGAGCAACAUGACACACACAACGAAGAGCUGCAGAACACCAAAGAGGAACUUAAAGAGCUAAAGAGCACCUUCCAGAGGCUACAGAUUGAACUGCAGACCCACCACAAUAUGAGAACAUCUAAUGAGGAAACAUUACGAGACACUGAGGAUCAGUUUACUGAGCAGCUGUCAAAGCUGCAGAAGACCAUUGAUAGCCUGGAGCUCCAACUCAAAAAUAUCCACACUGAGAUGGCCAAUAACAAACUGGACUAUGACAUCCUGCUCAACCUUAAAAGCCAUCUGGAGACUGAGAUCACAGAGUACAGGCUGCUGCUGGAGGCAGAAGACAGCAGGUCUCGCUGCUGGGUGGUGGUGUGGGGUAACUAAAAGCUAAGCUAAGUAAACAAAACUGUAAUUCUUAAAAAAAAAACAUUUUUUUAAAGCGCUGGAUGUUAAUAUACACAGAUUUCUCUUCUGAAAACUCUUUAUUUGGCACUUUCGUUUAUUUUCAGUAACCAUAGAUUUCCAGAUUUCCACUAAGCAUUAACGGCUAACUGCUAACACUAACGGGCCAUAAAAGCAGCCCAACAGAGCUACACUGAGGAACCCUGAAUGUUCCAAUAAGCCAGGAGGAUAUUAGCUAGCUAUUCAUCGCACACAGCUUGUUUUAACACAGUAAACACACAGGCUGCAGUCCAAUAGACCUAGCGCUGCGGUUAGCAGCUAAUGCUAAUACUGCUCCAGCCUGUGUGCUGGAGAACUAAACUGAAACUUCACACAACCAUCACACAGAAUGUAGUAUGUAUUUAUCUCUUUAUAUAUACCCUUAAUCUUUUAAUAUGUUUGUUACAUUUGUUGUUUUCUAUUUGGGUAAUUUUUGUUUUCUCUCUUUUUCUAUAUUUUACAGCGAGCCUCAGGUUGUUCACAAAACGAAUCAAGAGGAAGAGCCACCUGUGGAUGACAAAGUCGUGGAACCCAGCGAAACAGAAACUACGGAAGACUGACA
Astyanax mexicanus (Mexican tetra) is the source of this 1865-nucleotide RNA transcript. It is a transcript of the gene named keratin 98, with no coding region annotated. The transcript is spliced from 8 exons. The record is from RefSeq and is a predicted model, not a curated record. Lineage: Eukaryota; Metazoa; Chordata; Actinopteri; Characiformes; Acestrorhamphidae.